UACGUAGGGUGCGAGCGUUGUCCGGAAUUAUUGGGCGUAAAGAGCUCGUAGGCGGUUUGUUGCGUCGGCUGUGAAAUCCCGAGGCUCAACCUCGGGUCUGCAGUCGAUACGAGCAAACUAGAGUGUUGCAGGGGAGACUGGAAUUCCUGGUGUAGCGGUGAAAUGCGCAGAUAUCAGGAGGAACACCGGUGGCGAAGGCGGGUCUCUGGGCAACAACUGACGCUGAGGAGCGAAAGCGUGGGGAGCAAACAGG
This 253-nucleotide ribosomal RNA is filed under the name uncultured bacterium. RNAcentral describes it as "partial 16S ribosomal RNA". It matches the Rfam family "Bacterial small subunit ribosomal RNA", at positions 524 to 776 of the family's 1533-position model. The record is from RNAcentral.